UCAGGCCUAACACAUGCAAGUCGAGGGGUAUAGUAGCAAUACUAGAGACCGGCGCACGGGUGCGUAACGCGUAUGCAAUCUACCUUGUUCAAAGGGAUAGCCCAGAGAAAUUUGGAUUAAUACCUUAUAGUAUUAUAAAGUGGCAUCAUUUAAUAAUUAAAGAUUUAUCGGAACAAGAUGAGCAUGCGUCCCAUUAGCUAGUUGGUAUGGUAACGGCAUACCAAGGCUAUGAUGGGUAGGGGUCCUGAGAGGGAGAUCCCCCACACUGGUACUGAGACACGGACCAGACUCCUACGGGAGGCAGCAGUGAGGAAUAUUGGACAAUGGGCGCAAGCCUUAUAGGGCCAUGCCGCGUGCAGGAAGACGGUCCUAUGCCUUGAUGGUGCUUUUAUACGGAAAGAAACACCUCUACGGUAGGGGCUGAC
This 425-nucleotide ribosomal RNA is filed under the name uncultured bacterium. Its description in RNAcentral is "bacterial SSU rRNA". It matches the Rfam family "Bacterial small subunit ribosomal RNA", at positions 42 to 473 of the family's 1533-position model. The record is from RNAcentral.